UACGAAGGGUGCUAGCGUUGUUCGGAAUUACUGGGCGUAAAGCGCGCGUAGGCGGAUUGACAAGUCAGAGGUGAAAUGCCGGGGCUUAACCCCGGAACUGCCUUUGAAACUGUUAGUCUGGAGUUCGAGAGGGGAUGGUGGAAUUCCUAAUGUAGAGGUGAAAUUCGUAGAUAUUAGGAGGAACACCGGUGGCGAAGGCGGCCAUCUGGCUCGAUACUGACGCUGAGGCGCGAAAGCGUGGGGAUCAAACAGG
Molecule: ribosomal RNA, 253 nt
Filed under: uncultured bacterium
Lineage: Bacteria
Description: partial 16S ribosomal RNA
Rfam family: Bacterial small subunit ribosomal RNA
Source: RNAcentral